CUCUGUACCCCACACAUGGGUAAAAUAAAAAGCAGACAUUGAAUAUCCCUUUGAGCAUGGUGAAGUUAUUAAUUACACUUUGGAUGGUGUAUCAAUACACCCAGUCACUACAAAGAUACAGGUGUCCUUCCUAACUCAGUUACCGGAGAGGAAGGAAACCACUCAGGGAUUUCACCAAUGGUGACUUUAAAACAGUUACAGAGUUUAAUGGCUGUGAUAGGAGAAAACUGAGGAUGGAUCAACAACAUUGUAGUUACUCCACAAUACUAAUUUAGAUGACAGAGUGAAAAGAAGGACGCCUGUACAGAAUAAAAAUAUUCCAAAACAUGCAUCCUGUUUGCAACAAGGCACUAAAGUAAUACUGCAAUAAAGGUGGCAAAGAAAUGAACUGUCCUGAAUACAAACCGUUAUGUUUGGGGCAAAUCCAACACGUCACUGAGUAAAACUCUUUCUAUUUCCAAGCAUGGUGGUGGCUGCAUCAGGUUGUGGGUAUGUUUGUCAUCAGCAAGGACUAGGGAGAUUUUCAGGAUAAAAAUAAAUGGAAUAGAGCUAAGGACAGGAAAAACCUGGUUCAGUCUGCUUUCCAACAGACACUGGGAGAUGAAUUCACCUUUCAGCAGGACAGUAACCUAAGACAAGGCCAAAUAUACACUGCAGUUUUGACUUAAAUCGUCUUGAAAAUAUAUGUCAAGACUUGAAAAUGGCUGUCUAGCAAUGAUCAACAACCAACAAUCCAGGUGUGCAAAGCUCUUAGAGACUGACCCAGAAAGACUCACAGCUGUAAUCACUGUCGAAGGUGAUCCUAACAUGUAUUGACUCAGCUUGGUUGAAUACUUAAAUUAGAUACUUCUGUAUUUCAUUCAAGGGGUAUAAAAACCAGUUUUCCUUUUGUCAUUAUUAGAUGGGUGAGAAAAGAAGGAUAUCAUAAUUAUAUUGAAUCCAUUUUGAAUUGAGGCUCUAACACAACAAAAUGUAGAAUAGGUCAAGGGGUUUGAAUGCUUUCUGAAGACACUGACUGAACCACGAGACAAAGAUACUACACAGAACCCAGAUACUCUACUUUAGAACAAAGAUGCUACACAGAACCCAGAUACUCUACUUCAGAACAAAGAUACUACACAGAACCCAGAUACUCUACUUCAGAACAAAGAUGCUACACAGAACCCAGAUACUCUACUUCAGAACAAAGAUGCUGCACAGAACCCAGAUACUCUACUUCAGAACAAAGAUGCUACACAGAACCCAGAUACUCUACUUCAGAACAAAGAUGCUGCACAGAAAGAUCCCAUAGACCACACCUGGACAGGAAGUGAAUAUCAAUGUUUUUUUGAGAAGAGUUAGUUUCAGUGUUCCCAACAGACAGAGACCCCGAGACCAGACGUUCAAACAAAUAUUGAAACACUUUGAGCGUUUGUUUUAGCCUGCCUGAAGUGCCAAAUGGGCGGGGUUUAAGGUUUUGGGACUAUUCGAUUGGUCCAUUAAUCCAGACAAGCUCAAUCAAGCACAGAUAAAAAUGAUGAAUUUAUUUCAUAUAGUAAAUCUCUGAAAUUAUAUUCUUUGAACCCAGGCGUAUGACAUAUUUCUCUGAGUCCAUGUGAGAUGUAAUGUAGAGCUGGUGUUACGCGGAACAAAUUAAGGUGCUACAAUAUUACUCCUUUUGUAGUGUGUAGUGUGUGUGUAGUGUGUGGUGUUUAGUUGCUGGGCUGAAUGGGGUCCACUGGUAGCUGUAGUUGAAUAGGUUUCCUCAGGCGUUUCAGAUCACUCUCCACC
Long non-coding RNA from Oncorhynchus tshawytscha (Chinook salmon), 1770 nucleotides. The record is from Ensembl. NCBI's taxonomy places the organism in Eukaryota, Metazoa, Chordata, Actinopteri, Salmoniformes, Salmonidae.